GGGCCCGCACAAGCGGUGGAGUAUGUGGUUUAAUUCGAUGCAACGCGAAGAACCUUACCAGGGUUUGACAUCCUGCGAAUCUCUUGGAAACGAGAGAGUCGCCUUCGGGAACGCAGUGACAGGUGGUGCAUGGCUGUCGUCAGCUCGUGUCGUGAGAUGUUGGGUUAAGUCCCGCAACGAGCGCAACCCACGUCUUUAGUUGCCAGCAUUUAGUUGGGCACUCUAGAGAGACUGCCGGUGAUAAACCGGAGAAGGUGUGGAUGACAGUCAAAGUCAUUCAUGCCCCCAUUAACAAUCUGGGCUACAACACGUACUACAAUGCUACGGACAAAGGGCUGCAAGUUCAGCAGAAGGACUAAGGCAAAAUUCCCCAAUAAAGCGUGGCUC
This 387-nucleotide ribosomal RNA is filed under the name uncultured bacterium. RNAcentral's name for it is "bacterial SSU rRNA". It matches the Rfam family "Bacterial small subunit ribosomal RNA", at positions 917 to 1289 of the family's 1533-position model. The record is from RNAcentral.